AAGUCGUAACAAGGUUUCCGUAGGUGAACCUGUGGAAGGAUCAUUAACACGUAUCCACGUAUAAACCCAAUGUGCUUUUGUUAUGUACCCUGUCAAAGGACUGAGUGAACAGGUAGUCAGAGUGGUGAAGGCGUUUGGUCUUAACGGACCUCUCGCUUAUUUGACUGACUCCUGCUCGGAGGGGAAAUUUAUUUUCUCUCAGCUCUUUCCUUGUUUGUACAGGUUUUUUUGUUCCUCUCACCAUUGGAGCGCUUUUUCACUUAAACCCCUAGUAACUAAAUAUUCUAAUCUUAUGUGAUAGCUGGAAACGGCUAUUAUAUUAAUACGAAACGCUUGACAACUCUUAGCAACGGAUAUCUUGGUUCUC
RNAcentral lists this unclassified non-coding RNA (367 nucleotides) under fungal sp. RNAcentral describes it as "partial internal transcribed spacer region". The stretch from base 1 to 46 matches the Rfam family "Eukaryotic small subunit ribosomal RNA", at positions 1786 to 1831 of the family's 1831-position model. Lineage: Eukaryota; Fungi. The record is from RNAcentral.